Molecule: ribosomal RNA, 789 nt
Filed under: uncultured bacterium
Lineage: Bacteria
Description: bacterial SSU rRNA
Rfam family: Bacterial small subunit ribosomal RNA
Source: RNAcentral
CGGACGGGUGAGUAACGCGUGGGCAACCUGCCUUACACAGGGGGAUAACAAUUAGAAAUGAUUGCUAAUACCGCAUAAGACCCCAGUACCGCAUGGUACAGAGGUAAAAACUGAGGUGGUGUAAGAUGGGCCCGCGUCUGAUUAGGUAGUUGGUGGGGUAGAAGCCUACCAAGCCGACGAUCAGUAGCCGACCUGAGAGGGCGACCGGCCACAUUGGGACUGAGACACGGCCCAAACUCCUACGGGAGGCAGCAGUGGGGAAUAUUGCACAAUGGGGGAAACCCUGAUGCAGCGACGCCGCGUGAGUGAGGAAGUAUUUCGGUAUGUAAAGCUCUAUCAGCAGGGAAGAAAAUGACGGUACCUGACUAAGAAGCCCCGGCUAACUACGUGCCAGCAGCCGCGGUAAUACGUAGGGGGCAAGCGUUAUCCGGAUUUACUGGGUGUAAAGGGAGCGUAGACGGAUAAGCAAGUCUGAUGUGAAAAUCCGGGGCCCAACCCCGGAAUUGCAUUGGAAACUGCAUAUCUAGAGUGUCGGAGAGGCAAGUGGAAUUCCUGGUGUAGCGGUGAAAUGCGUAGAUAUCAGGGGGAACACCAGUGGCGAAGGCGGCUUGCUGGACGAUGACUGACGUUGAGGCUCGAAAGCGUGGGGAGCAAACAGGAUUAGAUACCCUGGUAGUCCACGCCGUAAACGAUGACUACUAGGUGUCGGGAGGCAAAGCCUUUCGGUGCCGCAGCCAACGCAAUAAGUAGUCCACCUGGGGAGUACGUUCGCAAGAAUGAAACUCAAAG